RNAcentral lists this small RNA (143 nucleotides) under Nomascus leucogenys (northern white-cheeked gibbon). Its description in RNAcentral is "Y RNA (ENSNLEG00000025461.2)". The record is from RNAcentral. Lineage: Eukaryota; Metazoa; Chordata; Mammalia; Primates; Hylobatidae.
GGCUAGUCUCAAACUCCUGAGCUCCGGCGAUCCACCUGCCUUGGCCUCCCAAAGUGCUAAAAUUGUAGGCCACCACACCCGGCCCAGACCAAAUUUACUCCACUUUUUCUCCCCUUCUCACUACUGUACUUGACUAGUCUUUA